ACACCUCAACUCUCGUGGUCCGCCACGAUGAGCUUGGACUUUGGGGGUCUUGCCGGCCUAGCGUCGGCUCCUCUCAAAUGGAUCAGCUUGCCAGUGUUUGGUGGCGUCACAGGUGUGAUAACUAUCUACGCUUGUGGUUUCUGCCAUGCAACCUUCAGCAAUGGGGGUUCGCUGGAGCUCACAGAUGUCUCUCCUUGGGGAGGACAGCUUUUUGAAC
This 217-nucleotide unclassified non-coding RNA is filed under the name uncultured Tomentella. RNAcentral describes it as "sequence contains ITS2". Lineage: Eukaryota; Fungi; Basidiomycota; Agaricomycetes; Thelephorales; Thelephoraceae. The record is from RNAcentral.